GGAACAACAGCUGGAAACGGCUGCUAAUACCCCAUAGGCUGAGGAGCAAAAGGAGGAAUCCGCCCAAGGAGGGGCUCGCGUCUGAUUAGUUAGUUGGUGAGGCAAUGGCUUACCAAGGCGACGAUCAGUAGCUGGUCCGAGAGGAUGAUCAGCCACACUGGGACUGAGACACGGCCCAGACUCCUACGGGAGGCAGCAGUGGGGAAUUUUCCGCAAUGGGCGAAAGCCUGACGGAGCAAUGCCGCGUGAAGGCAGAAGGCCCACGGGUCAUGAACUUCUUUUCUCGGAGAAGAAAAAAUGACGGUAUCUGAGGAAUAAGCAUCGGCUAACUCUGUGCCAGCAGCCGCGGUAAGACAGAGGAUGCAAGCGUUAUCCGGAAUGAUUGGGCGUAAAGCGUCUGUAGGUGGCUUUUCAAGUCCGCCGUCA
RNAcentral lists this ribosomal RNA (426 nucleotides) under uncultured organism. Its description in RNAcentral is "bacterial SSU rRNA". It matches the Rfam family "Bacterial small subunit ribosomal RNA", at positions 140 to 597 of the family's 1533-position model. The record is from RNAcentral.